UCAGCAUCUACUGCCCAGCCCAGAUUUGGAGGAGAGCUCCGCUGCUUCCUCCUGUAGGCAUCCAAGAAGCGACGAUGAGAGUUGCGUGGGAGUAGGUGUUGAGAGUGUCUUAUGUAGAGGAGGCGAAGUAUUUGAGUCCUGUACACCAACCUGUGAUAACUUGAAGCCUGACUGCCCUAAAGAGAGUUCUCCAGGAUGUGUCUGUAGAAGCGGCACUGUAGAUAGUGGCUUAGGUGAAUGUGUGGAAAUAGUAAAGUGUGAUUUCUGCAGCGGGAACACAACAUAUAUCCCAUGCGGCAGACCCUGCGCCCCUCAACAAAUUUGCGCAGCAGUCUGUGUUGAGAAGUGCGUCUGUAAACGCGGCUAUGUGUCCCUACCUAACAGCGACAGAUGUGUCCUUCGUCGGGAUCUCCCUUAAAGUAGAUACAACAUUUAAACCGUCUCAUGUGUGUCUUAUUAACAAUUGUCAAAAUGUUAUGUGACCUCAUCCAAUUAUAAGGAGAGGUGUCUGAUAUAAAUAAAGUGAUUGCAGACAUUGA
This is a long non-coding RNA of Bufo bufo (common toad), 539 nucleotides long. RefSeq lists it as uncharacterized. The transcript is spliced from 2 exons. Lineage: Eukaryota; Metazoa; Chordata; Amphibia; Anura; Bufonidae. The record is from RefSeq and is a predicted model, not a curated record.